RNAcentral lists this ribosomal RNA (253 nucleotides) under uncultured bacterium. Its description in RNAcentral is "partial 16S ribosomal RNA". It matches the Rfam family "Bacterial small subunit ribosomal RNA", at positions 524 to 776 of the family's 1533-position model. The record is from RNAcentral.
UACGUAGGGAGCAAGCGUUGUCCGGAUUUAUUGGGCGUAAAGAGCUCGUAGGCGGUUCCGUAAGUCGGGUGUGAAAAAUCUGGGCUCAACCCAGUGGAGCACCCGAUACUGCGGUGACUGGAGUCCGGUAGGGGAGUGUGGAAUUCCUGGUGUAGCGGUGAAAUGCGCAGAUAUCAGGAGGAACACCAAUUGCGAAGGCAGCUCGCUGGGACGUUACUGACGCUGAGACGCGAAAGCGUGGGGAGCAAACAGG